GACGAACGCUGGCGGCGUGCUUAACACAUGCAAGUCGAACGGAAAGGCCCUGCUUUUGUGGGGUGCUCGAGUGGCGAACGGGUGAGUAACACGUGAGUAACCUGCCCUUGACUUUGGGAUAACUUCAGGUAACUGGGGCUACUACCGGAUAGGAGCUCCUGCUGCAUGGUGGGGGUUGGAAAGUUUCGGCGGUUGGGGAUGGACUCGCGGCUUAUCAGCUUGUUGGUGGGGUAGUGGCUUACCCAGGCUUUGACGGGUAGCCGGCCUGAGAGGGUGACCGGGCACAUGGGGACUGCGAGACGGACCAGACUCCUACGGGAGGCAGCAGUGGGGAGUAUUGCACAAUGGGCGGAAGCCUGAUGCGGCAACGCCGCGGGCGGGAUGACGGCUUUCGGGUUGUAAACCGCUUUCGCCUGUGACGAAGCGUGAGUGACGGUAAUGAGUAAAGAAGCACCGGCUAACUACGUG
This 468-nucleotide ribosomal RNA is filed under the name uncultured bacterium. RNAcentral's name for it is "partial 16S ribosomal RNA". It matches the Rfam family "Bacterial small subunit ribosomal RNA", at positions 28 to 507 of the family's 1533-position model. The record is from RNAcentral.